CCAAUUUCCGAUUCUAUUGGAAUCCAUUUUUCUUCUACCUAAGUUUGAUUUUUUUAUUCAGUUGGCGAUCAAAACCCUCAGAACCUGCUUGCCUCUUUCUUAUGGGUUGGACCCCACCACAACACCUUGGAACCCGUUAUGCCCUUAUCCCUGUCAGACUGCAUCACCUUCUCCCACUGCCUGUCUCUUCAUCACCUUCACCCGAUGCGUCUUCAUUGACAAUCGGUUUCUUAGUUUCCACAUUCUCUCAGCGGGGCAGUUUGCUAGCUAUGCUCCUUCACGAUUUCUUGCCCGUCGAGUUUUGGUUCGGUUCAGAGAUUUAUUCCCCUGGCGAUCAACCAAGUGCCUCACUCAGUUGCCCUUUUCCACCACUGUUUGGUUCCACCUUUGGGUUCAGACGACCUCCUGGAUCCCAACUGCCUUCCUUCCAAUUCUAAUAAUUUCAAUUCCAACUUUUUUUCUUCAUCAAUUUGUUAUGUCCCUUCAGGAGCUUUCUUCUCUCUGCACUUACUGCCUUGAUGUCUAUCGCUGUCAAUCUGGUUGCUCCAUCUAUAGAGAUCUGCUGCAUGGUCCAAAAUCAACCAAUCGUCUGCCCAGCUGGAAUUCAUUCCUCUCAGGAGCCAGCUGGCUCCGUUCCCCACCCUGAUUGCUUUCCCCAUUCGUCCUAAUCCCUGGUUACAUCGGGACGAAUGUCACUUCAUAAUCCCUCUUCCUGGAGUUCUGUAUCCUACCCAGAGGUCUCCCUUUGACAUCCCCCUUCUCUCACUCAAAUUUCCACUUCCCAUUCCACUUAGAGCAACAACUCUUUACCCAACGUCCUCCCAUUUACUCCUUCUCUCAAUGAACUUCCAACCUCCCAUUCCACUUACAUAAACAUAUCUUUGCGAAGGCAUGCUUCCCCGCGACCUGUUGCCGGAAAAUCUUCCGCAGAGCUCCAUCUCUUCCUCCAUAUUGUCUGGAAGUUGGGAAACCCCUCAAUACCGGAUACAUUUUUCGCGCUGGAGACCAUCUAGACUGAUGUCGAGGUAUUGUCUAUCCGUUGCCAUCUAUAUACCUUUAUUGCUUCUUUAUUUGGUAUUUUCAUCUGCUUACCUAUUUCGGUAAGGUGUUUUCUUCCCCGGUGAUACUCUUCGGAAUUUUGGUGGUGUCCUACAGAAACGGAUUUCCCCUGGCUAUGUCUACAAGAUUUCAAACUACUCACUCCGAAAACCCCGCGGUAAGUACCACACUUGCCUAUAUGCCCACUAGCUAGCUCUGAUAUGUGCUACUCAGUUUGAAAUCCAAUAUGAUUCGGAACCACCCUUUGCACUAGAGGUCCUCGAAUACAUUUUGCUGCACAAGUUCCCAUCCAGGAUGAAAUCAUGUGCCUACUUGACAGGUUGUGGUUCCUGCCGUUUCGUUCAUGCGCCCCCUUGGUUCUUACUAUUGUCGUUCCCCUAGUUGACCCCUUUUGUCUGCAGAUUUCGUAGGCAAGGUGGUCGGCGUGGGUCCGCCAAAUUACGUCGACCGUCCCACCGGUUUCUCUGCUGUCUAGAAAAUAACUGUUGUGGAUUCAAUGUCUAUGCUUUCUGUUACCUUCCUAUUAUUGCCCUAUGGGUUGGCUGCCUGCUCAUAUCCCAUCCUCAAUGGAUCUUCCUUAGUACUUUCAACGUGUCCAACUCACCAUUCAAAUUGAUUUAUAUCCACUCUUUUCCUCCUGUCAAUGUACCUUCUUCAGCUGCAUACCAUUAAACUCCCUUCCUCCCACCAUUUUUUCAAUGUUUUAUCUAACUAUAUAGAUUGUUUCCUACUAUAUCCCUCAUAAUAUAGUUGCUCUGCCAUCCUCCAAUCUUCUUAUUCUCUUUCACUACAUCCUAAGUUUCAGUUUGGCCGUUAUUGCAUUCCUCUUAUGGCUCUCACCUAUGAUCUCAGUGUUGCACCCUCGGGUUUGGAUCCCUCACCGCCUUCUGUCACAGCUACACUCCCGCUCCGGUAACAUAACAAAUUCCUUGCUUCUGCUCGAAGGUUAGCGCCUUGACUACAAUCAUUGCAGAUCUUACUCUUGACAACAAUAAACUCUCAUGCCUAUUCCGUCUCAUCCAUUUCUGGUGCACAAGGCCUAUUGCCACAGUCGAGGUCCCCGCUACAAUACACCAUAGACCGGACCAUCAACCGCUCAGUUUGUACCCAAUCCUUUUGCCCUUGCAUGACACUUUUAUUGUAUAACCUUUCCAUACUUAUUUUGGGUUCUCGGUGGUCCUUAGGAAACACUUAUUUAGGGUUAUACAGAGCCAUCUCAUGUAUGGAUUGUUGUUGACCUCUUAAUAUUGAGGACGAUCUACAAAGUCUACCAACCAACUCUCAUUACACCAUAGACCAAACCACGCCCGUGCCCGACCCAUGUCUAUCUCUGUAUCAUUCCCGGCGACUUGAGCAGACCGGUUCCUGAGGAUCCAUUAAGACCGUUCUUUCCCCAUGAUAGCUAUACCAUAGUCCCAAAACCUAUGCCUCGGCCUCUACUGAAUUCCCUUGCUGUUUGAGCAGGGCGCUACUUAGUAACCAACCCAUUCGAUUGCAUAUUUUUCCCCUAUUGGGCUUUGCUGACACCAAUCCGACUCCCUACAGAUAUUGUAGGAUGCAUUGUGUCUAUUACUAAGCUAGAGAAUGCGGGUGAUGGUUUGGUUGAUUUUACUCUGUUUAUUUACGAACCCAGGUUAGUUUCCUCUCAUCGCUAUGCCAUUUCAACCAUUAUAUGUGUUAUAUAGCUUCGUUGAUGUUCUCUGCCCCAUUUCCAAUGGAGACCGCAUUUAUGUUCGUUAUACUGAUUACAUGCCCAAUAUGGAAUUCAGUUUUGACCAACUUGCUACAGCUGAAUAGUUCCAUCCUGUCCUUUAUAUCCUAAAAUCCGUUACACGCUGUGAACUUUCGCACCGGUGGUUUGUACUUACGAUUUUUUGUUUUCCUUUGUCACCCCUUGCCUGUAUUUAAAUAUGCUGCCUUUUAUAGAUACCAAAUGGGGACCUCCAUAGCACACCAGCAUCGCGAAUCCUAUUGGUUCCAUUUCGGCCGCCUUUCAAAUAGUAUUUUGAUAUGUAUGUUUUCGUUUUUAUAUGUCUAGUAUAUACUCCUUUCGAACACUACCUAACUUGUUCCCAUAACACUCCAGUUUCUUGCACAACCACUUCCCUGACCCGGUCAGUCUAUCAAAUGAGCGGUGUUUCAGCUUUGUUUGCGGCAACCUCCCGUUGAAAUUGCAGUUGGCUGCAUUAACUGCUGAGCGCCAUGUUAUGCCUCCACACAGUCAUGUAUAUUUCCUUUCCUUCGUCCGCUCUGUCAAAACCAUUCCCGUUCAACAUCUGUGUAAUACUCCUGCUUUCAGGCUAGGAUUAACAUGUGUCACUGCCCAUCCAAUGUUGUCCAGGCCGGUAAUGGACUUAUGUAUGUACUAGCUGCAUGGAUUGUAUAGCUUUGUUAUUAUACACACCUGUUGGCCACCUACUUCUAACCUAAUUGAGUAUGUUUCUCUUUUCCAAUUACUCUGUCAUGGUGUAUAGUAUUGACGCCACUGUAACUGUGCCUCUACUUUUCAUCAGGCCGGCUGCCACAAUGUUGUUCAAAAUGCAUGUGGAAGAAUACAAUGUUUUGUCCGCUGCUGCUAACAAAACCCUCUCAUUUCAGCUCAGGAAUCAGUUCUUAAAUCCAAAUGCGUGAUCGCGUAUCCAACAAUCAUACCAAGUUUUUCGUGCAGAAUCUAUGAGAGCUUGUUGCUGCUUACUACUGAAUUGCACUCCAUAUGCCAUAUCUCCUGUAUUUGGUGGAACUGACCCAGUUGUCAAAUAGUGUUUCCUUCUCGCAGCUAAUUUCCAGUGAGAGACUCUGGGUUGUUGCUCUUUUCCAUUCCAGUCUAACCUUUGCCAUGGGUGCUUAUUUAAUUAUGUCUACUUCUUUUCGUACAUAUCUCUGUCAUAUAUAUAUAUAUAUAUAUAUAUAUCAUUUUCAGCUUGCAACAAGGAAUCUUAUACACCUUUUUCCCAAUGCGGCUCUGUCAACCAACUUCAUUCUUC
RNAcentral lists this long non-coding RNA (4043 nucleotides) under Linum usitatissimum (flax). RNAcentral's name for it is "long non-coding RNA (LUSI_LNC004735)". Lineage: Eukaryota; Viridiplantae; Streptophyta; Magnoliopsida; Malpighiales; Linaceae. The record is from RNAcentral.